UCCAUUCCCACCCCGCAGCCUCCCGAUUCUUCUCCACCUUCCACCGCCGGGCGCCGUCCCCCGCAACUCCGUCGGCCUCCUUCCCCCGCUCAGGCCGCCUCCCUUCCCAGCUCCGGUCGCCUCCCUCCCCAGCGCCGGCCUCCUUCCUCCCUAGCGCCGGCCUCCUCCCUAGCGCGCCGCCGGCCGGACUCCCUCCCAGCGUGCCGCCAACCGACCUCCUCCCAACGCGCCUCCGGUCGGUCUCGCCUCAAGCGCACCGCCGCGACGGCCCUCGCCGCCACCACCACCUCCCACCGCCACCAGCACCACAUCCUCAUCCCCGUGAGCCCACGCCCGUCACUCCCCACGAAUUCCGCCGCCUCCCUCCCUCCUACACCGGCGCCGCCCUUACCUCAUACCGGCAGCCGCCCUCCCUCGCGCGCCGGCCUCCUCCACCCCCCACGCUCAGGACGCCUUCCUUCCUGCGCUCUGGUCGCCUUCCUCCUCGUGCGCCGGCCUCCUCCCUACCCCGUGCUCUGUCUGCCUUUCUUCCCGCUCUCCGGUCAUCUUCCUCCCCGCACUCCGGCCGCCUUCCUCCCCUCGUUCCGGCCUCCUUCCUCCCUGCAAUCAGUUUGCCUCCCUCCCCACGCUCCGUCCACCUUCCUCCCCGAGAUCCGUCCGCCUUCUCCCCUGAGAUCCCACGGCCGUACCGCCGUCGUCCAACCCCUCCAUCUGUAAGUAAGGGCACUAGGCCGCCCUCCACGCCGGGGUGGCCCUGCUAGCCAUCAGCGGGGGAAGCGGAGUGGCUACCAUGGCGGGGCUGGAGACGAGUUCGUCCUGGGCGUGCGCAUCCUCGGGAAGUCCAUCUGCAAUAUGGGCACCUCGCAGAGACCUCAUAGUGCUCGUCCCAGACUACUCUCUGAAGCCACUCGAGGUGAAGAAUACACGGUAGGAUCUGCCCCAGCAAACCACAUGUUGCCGGAGGCGCUCUGCCUCUCCUAUGCACCCCCUGCUUCGAUCUCCCUCCACUGCCGCCCUCCCCCCUCCAUAGUUCUUGGCACCGCUGUGGCCCCGCACUGGAUCGACGCGCCGCUAUCGCUCUGCCGCCGCGUAUAGAGAGUUCAAUGCCGCAACCCUUGUCCAUUCAAUCUCGCCGCCAUGGGCGUGCCCCACUCCAACUCCCUCGCAUGUGCUUCCGUGGCGAAACAGUGCAACCUGCAGGAGGAACCGUGAGGGGUCCAGGACGUCCAUCUCGGCAGUCCAACUCGGCAUGAUUCACGUCAUCGUUGGCCCCAUGUUCGCUGGCAAGACCACCGCGCUUCUCCGCCGGCACCGGCAGGAAAAUUGGGCUGGGAGUCGACAAGCUGGGCAAAAUGUGUUGCUACUUCUACAAUAUCAAAGAUGAUGACAUUCUGGUCUUGCUCGUCGAGGACCCAAUCACAGGGCUGUCUGUCGCUGCCGCAAUGCAUUAGGAAAAGUUCAAGUUUCCUAUUAGAUUUAGUUCUAUUGGAAAAGGGCUGCCCUCACCGCGCUUAUCCCCGUUGCCGGAGGGCCGGCGUGCAGGGGUUGGGCCACAGCCGACACUUCCGUUCGUGCCCUACCACUGCUCAAUCUUCUCGCCUAACCCCCUUCCUCCCCGAUCUGCUACUGAUGUACCCCAACUACCACUGGAGCUUCGGGGAGCACUCCUCUGUCCAAGUUGAGCAUUGGGCGCCGUCCGAGUAGAGCACUGCACCCCGUCCAAGUCCCAUCUAAUGUUGAACGUUCAAUUUUGUCAUGUUGAAUAAUAUAGCGCUGAGCACCCUACAAUUUUUUUUGCU
This is a long non-coding RNA of Triticum dicoccoides, 1799 nucleotides long. RefSeq lists it as uncharacterized. NCBI's taxonomy places the organism in Eukaryota, Viridiplantae, Streptophyta, Magnoliopsida, Poales, Poaceae. The transcript has 3 exons. The record is from RefSeq and is a predicted model, not a curated record.